Molecule: ribosomal RNA, 468 nt
Filed under: uncultured bacterium
Lineage: Bacteria
Description: partial 16S ribosomal RNA
Rfam family: Bacterial small subunit ribosomal RNA
Source: RNAcentral
GACGAACGCUGGCGGCGUGCUUAACACAUGCAAGUCGAACGGAAAGGCCCUGCUUUUGUGGGGUGCUCGAGUGGCGAACGGGUGAGUAACACGUGAGUAACCUGCCCUUGACUUUGGGAUAACUUCAGGAAACUGGGGCUAAUACCGGAUAGGAGCUCCUGCUGCAUGGUGGGGGUUGGAAAGUUUCGGCGGUUGGGGAUGGACUCGCGGCUUAUCAGCUUGUUGGUGGGGUAGUGGCUUACCAAGGCAUUGACGGGUAGCCGGCCUGAGAGGGUGACCGGCCACAUUGGGACUGAGAUACGGCCCAGACUCCUACGGGAGGCAGCAGUGGGGAAUAUUGCACAAUGGGCGGAAGCCUGAUGCAGCAACGCCGCGUGCGGGAUGACGGCCUUCGGGUUGUAAACCGCUUUCGCCUGUGACGAAGCGUGAGUGACGAUAAUGGGUAAAGAAGCACCGGCUAACUACGUG